Molecule: ribosomal RNA, 26 nt
Filed under: Thermomucor indicae-seudaticae
Lineage: Eukaryota; Fungi; Mucoromycota; Mucoromycetes; Mucorales; Lichtheimiaceae
Description: partial 28S ribosomal RNA
Source: RNAcentral
UGAAAUCAGACGAGACUACCCGCUGA